This 628-nucleotide ribosomal RNA is filed under the name Clostera curtula. RNAcentral's name for it is "eukaryotic LSU rRNA". Lineage: Eukaryota; Metazoa; Arthropoda; Insecta; Lepidoptera; Notodontidae. The record is from RNAcentral.
GGGGUAAACCUGCGAAACUCGAAUGAACGAACGGAGAGAUUCAUCGUCAUUUCGCGGCGUACGGACGCGCGUUCGAUGCCCCCGGCCUCGGCCGGUGGCACGUCGCGCGCACGUCACGUCCGCGGACGGCGUGCACUUCUCUCUUAGUAUCCACAUGCAUCGCGACCCGUUCGAUGUCGGUCUAAGCGCCGUUCGGGAGCCCCGUCGUCCCCGGCAACGGUGGCGGUGGGACCGCGACGGACGCCGACCGGCCGUCGGACGGUACUUACAAUGAAGCGCGCACGCGUUUACGCGUCCGGCCCGACGCAAGUCAACGUCGUAUCCGACGCUCCGCCCGAGUGCGGGCGUUGGUGCGGCGCGUCUGUCGUCGCAGCCGUGUGUCUCGGACAGUGCGCGUCUCUGUCAGCGAUGAUUCAGUUUCGGGCACUCGCAGGACCCGUCUUGAAACACGGACCAAGGAGUCUAGCAUGUAUGCGAGUCAUUGAGUAUAUUUUGACAAAACUGAAAGGCGCAACGAAAGUGAAGGCGUGCGCUAGUCGCGCGCUCAGGGAGGAUGGAGCGCCGAUCUCGGUCGGCCUCUCGCACUCCCGAGGCGUCUCGUUUCCAAUCCGUGAAUGCAGGCGCGCUC